This is a long non-coding RNA of Eriocheir sinensis (Chinese mitten crab), 2343 nucleotides long. RefSeq lists it as uncharacterized. The record is from RefSeq and is a predicted model, not a curated record. The transcript has 2 exons. Lineage: Eukaryota; Metazoa; Arthropoda; Malacostraca; Decapoda; Varunidae.
ACGAGAGGGAGGAGGAGGUGGAGGUGGAGGUGGAGGUGGAAGUGGAGGUGGAGAAGGAGAAGAAGGAGGAGGUGAAGGUGGAGGUGGAAGUGGAGGGGAGAAGGAGAAGGAGGAGGAGGUGAAGGUGGAGGAGGAGGUAACUUUAUUCUCUUACAGUCCUCAUAUAAGGCAACCACGAGGUCUGUUUUUUUUUUCUUUUUAAAGGAGGAGGAGGAGGAACAAAGAAACACAAAGAGAGAACAAACAACAGCAGGCCUGCUGGUCCGUACGAGGCUGUUUGUGAUAAGCUACACUAACUAUCUAAUCAAAGGUGGAAGAUGAAGGACAGCAAAGGCGAAGGCAGUGGUGAGCAAAUCAGGGAAGUAAAGAAACGGAACAGGCCGAGGCAGCAACACUAUAAUAUAGUCGCCAAGUCAGUCAGCUCGGGGCCUCGCCAUUCGCGCCAAUCCCGGGCAGAAUCUUGGCGGUUCAGUCUCCUUCCUUCGCCCUGUCAACUUCCCACUUUCGUCACAUCACUUUCCUUCCUUCCCUCGUUCCUUCCUUCCUUCCUUCCCUCGUUGUUGCUUUCCUUCCUUCCUUCCCUCGUUCCUUCCUUCGUCCUGUCAUCUUUCUCCAUCCUCCCUUCCUCCUGUCACCUUCCCCCCUUUAUUCCUCCCUUCCUCUGUCACCUUCCUUUGGCCUUCGUCCUGCCAUCCUUCAUCCAACAAAAACGGUCUCCGGCGCCUUCACUGUAUUUUCGAUUGAUUUGAAUUAAUCCCGUCUGGAAUUUUAAGAGGCUCAUCUUGCUAUCCACCCUCCUCGCCUCGCGGGGCUGGGGAGCGUCAGGGGGCCCAAGGCCUUCCUGGCGAGCGUCGCAGGGCUCAGGGCUCCGGCAGGGCGCCUCGGCUCCCCCGGAGCGUCCACGGAGGUGUCGGAGAUCCCGAGGGUCCGGGGGUUGGGGGGGCGUGAAGUGGCAGCAAGACAUGCAGUUACUGACCUCUUAUUAGCCAGACGACGCGUUAAUGACACGUUCCAAUGGAAGGUUCGACGCAUGGGGAGGUACAAUUCCCCUAAGCAAGGCAAGUGUCAUGCCAACUACGAUAAAAAACGAAAAAUCCAAAAAAAAUACAAAAACAAAAAAUCCUAAAAAAAAUGUCUUGUUUUGCUUUGUUUAAAGCGUCUUGUAUGUUGGUAUGGCGGGUCUUCUCUGGGGAGAAGGAGACUAACGCGUUCCAACAUACAAAACCAGGAAAAGACGAUAUGGAAACACCGAGAGAAGGAAGGGAAAGAAGGGAACACCAGAAGAAGGAAAAUGAAGAGAAGUAACACUAGAAGAAGGCAUAUGAAGUAACACAAGAAGAAGGAAGUUGAAAAGAGUAACACAAGAAGAAGGUAUUGAAAAGAGUAACACAGAAGAAGGUAUUGAAAAGAGUUACACAGAAGAAGGUAUUGAAAAGAGUAACACAGAAGAAGGUAUUGAAAAGAGUAACACAGAAGAAGGUAUUGAAAAGAGUAACACAGAAGAAGGUAUUGAAAAGAGUUACACAGAAGAAGGUAUUGAAAAGAGUAACACAGAAGAAGGUAUUGAAAAGAGUAACACAGAAGAAGGUAUUGAAAAGAGUUACACAGAAGAAGGUAUUGAAAAGAGUAACACAGAAGAAGGUAUUGAAAAGAGUUACACAGAAGAAGGUAUUGAAAAGAGUAACACAGAAGAAGGUAUUGAAAAGAGUUACACAGAAGAAGGAAUUUGAAAAGAGUAACACAGAAGAAGGUAUUGAAAAGAGUAACACAGAAGAAGGUAUUGAAAAGAGUUACACAGAAGAAGGUAUUGAAAAGAGUAACACAAGAAGAAGGAAUUUGAAGAUAAAUAACACAAGAAGAAGAAAUGUGAAGUAACACCGGAAGGAAAAUGCAGAGAAGUAACACUAGAAAAAUGAAAAUGGAAAUGAAAAGAAUCAUCCACCUUUCGGACCAAACCAACAUCACAAAAUUAUGGGCGAGUCUCUUCUGGGAGGAAAGCGGCUCGUUCAGACCCAGGAACACCAGAAAGGAUGAUAGAAACAUCAAGAAAAGGAAAACAGAAAAGUCAUCCACCUUUCGGCCCCUGGGGCCGCAGGGUGGGUGACGGGUGAAUCUCCUCUGGGGAGAAGGAGGCUAACCCACACAGUCAAGAUAGAGGCUAGAGAAAGGAAAUUAAAUCAUCGAGAAAAGAAAAUGAAAUUACAAUAUCAAGAAAAUAACUAAAAAGUCAUCGAGCUUUCGGCCCCUGGGGCCGCAGGGCGGGUGACGGGUGAGUCUUCUGGGGGGGAGGAGGCUCAUCCACAGCCAGCAACACCAACAGAAAGAAAAGAAAAGAAAAGAAAA